UACGUAGGGUGCAAGCGUUGUCCGGAAUUAUUGGGCGUAAAGAGCUCGUAGGCGGUUUGUCGCGUCUGCCGUGAAAGUCCGGGGCUCAACUCCGGAUCUGCGGUGGGUACGGGCAGACUAGAGUGAUGUAGGGGAGACUGGAAUUCCUGGUGUAGCGGUGAAAUGCGCAGAUAUCGAGGAGGAACACCGAUGGCGAAGGCAGGUCUCUGGGCAUUAACUGACGCUGAGGAAGCGGAAAGCAUGGGGAGCGAACAGG
This 256-nucleotide ribosomal RNA is filed under the name uncultured bacterium. Its description in RNAcentral is "partial 16S ribosomal RNA". It matches the Rfam family "Bacterial small subunit ribosomal RNA", at positions 524 to 776 of the family's 1533-position model. The record is from RNAcentral.